ACUCAGGAUAGCUCAGUCGGUAGAGAUGAGACUCUUAAUCUCAAGGUCCUGGGUUCGAGACCAAUGUUGGGCA
This is a non-coding RNA of Podarcis lilfordi (Lilford's wall lizard), 73 nucleotides long. NCBI's taxonomy places the organism in Eukaryota, Metazoa, Chordata, Lepidosauria, Squamata, Lacertidae. The record is from the annotation of a GenBank genome assembly.